GGACAUGCAAGCAUUUCCGAAAAUCUCACAGUUACCGCUGCAUGCGCGCGCAAGUCAUGAAAAGUGCUGGACCGACAAAGAGCGAAUUGGCAGUAUUCAGGGAGAAAUUGAAGAAUUUUCUCAUGCCCCAUUUUCUUAGGAACGGGUGCAAUUUUGACAUGAAAUACGUGGAUAUAAUAUCUAGGGCUUGUGGCAGUGAAGCAGCCAAUUAAAAAAAAA
Molecule: long non-coding RNA, 219 nt
Organism: Amyelois transitella
Lineage: Eukaryota; Metazoa; Arthropoda; Insecta; Lepidoptera; Pyralidae
Exons: 3
Source: RefSeq, a predicted model, not a curated record